Molecule: unclassified non-coding RNA, 240 nt
Filed under: soil metagenome
Description: partial contains 5.8S ribosomal RNA, internal transcribed spacer 2, and large subunit ribosomal RNA
Source: RNAcentral
AACCAUUCUCACCUGCGGCUAGACCUGCGGAGGGAUCAUCAUCGAAUUCAUAUCCCCCUCCUCUCCCGGAGGGGGACCCAUGAUAAACCCUUCUGUGCACCGUAACCGUUCACUUUGGCAGGCUUUGGUGGUGAGCGUGAGCUCGCCCCCAACCUCGCGUUCCCUCCUCCCUAAGGGGUGUUACGCGUGACGGCCUGCCGGAGUCCCAUUAAAAAACUCGUUUUCGAACACGUCUGAAAA